Molecule: ribosomal RNA, 685 nt
Filed under: Streptomyces sp. HW_1_20
Lineage: Bacteria; Bacillati; Actinomycetota; Actinomycetes; Kitasatosporales; Streptomycetaceae
Also listed under: 5 other names
Description: bacterial SSU rRNA
Rfam family: Bacterial small subunit ribosomal RNA
Source: RNAcentral
GCGAACGGGUGAGUAACACGUGGGCAAUCUGCCCUUCACUCUGGGACAAGCCCUGGAAACGGGGUCUAAUACCGGAUAACACCUGCCCGGGCAUCCGGGUGGGUUAAAAGCUCCGGCGGUGAAGGAUGAGCCCGCGGCCUAUCAGCUUGUUGGUGAGGUAGUGGCUCACCAAGGCGACGACGGGUAGCCGGCCUGAGAGGGCGACCGGCCACACUGGGACUGAGACACGGCCCAGACUCCUACGGGAGGCAGCAGUGGGGAAUAUUGCACAAUGGGCGAAAGCCUGAUGCAGCGACGCCGCGUGAGGGAUGACGGCCUUCGGGUUGUAAACCUCUUUCAGCAGGGAAGAAGCGAAAGUGACGGUACCUGCAGAAGAAGCGCCGGCUAACUACGUGCCAGCAGCCGCGGUAAUACGUAGGGCGCAAGCGUUGUCCGGAAUUAUUGGGCGUAAAGAGCUCGUAGGCGGCUUGUCACGUCGGGUGUGAAAGCCCGGGGCUUAACCCCGGGUCUGCAUUCGAUACGGGCUAGCUAGAGUGUGGUAGGGGAGAUCGGAAUUCCUGGUGUAGCGGUGAAAUGCGCAGAUAUCAGGAGGAACACCGGUGGCGAAGGCGGAUCUCUGGGCCAUUACUGACGCUGAGGAGCGAAAGCGUGGGGAGCGAACAGGAUUAGAUACCCUGGUAGUCCA